GGGGAUAGGGUCAUAGCUCAGUGGUAGAGCAUCUGCUUAGCAUGCAGAAGGUCCCAGGUUCAACCCCUGGCAUCUCCA
Non-coding RNA from Hemicordylus capensis (graceful crag lizard), 78 nucleotides. The record is from the annotation of a RefSeq genome assembly. Lineage: Eukaryota; Metazoa; Chordata; Lepidosauria; Squamata; Cordylidae.